GACCAAAAAAAAAAAUCUUCUCAUUCUCCUUCCGUAUUGUCGUUAAACGUUGACUGAUGACGAAGUCUCUCCACUGCAUUUUAUUUAAACUAAUCUCCAUUUAUAUUUCAUGCAGACAGCCGAUAAUGAUGAUGAUAUACUCAAUGGCCCAGUUGGCUUAAUGAUUAGAAAAAAAAUACAGUCGUUAUGGUGAAGAACAAGUGUAGGAUUCUUCUCACUCUUCUUCUUCUUCUUAUUCUCACCUUCAGCUCAGUGGCUUCUUCUCUGUACGGAACUCCCGAGGCCGGUGAAGCUCACCGAACCAAUGGGAGUUCGGGGUACGAAGAGGUUCGAGUCGGGUUGGUUAUGGAUAUGGCUUCCGUCGAGGGAAAGAUGGUCAGAAGCUCUGUUUCCAUGGCGCUGAAUGACUUCUACAGCACCAACAAUGGCUACAGAACAAGAGUCUCUCUCUCUGUUAGAGACUCCCGUGGAAAGCCCCUCCAAGCUCUUGCUUCAGCUCUAGAUCUCCUGGAAAAUGAAGAAGUGAAAGCAAUCAUUGGUGGGCAAUCAUUGCUCGAAGCAAAGCUUUUGGCUGAGCUCGGGGAGAAUGCUAAAGUUCCUGUGAUUUCGCUUCAUGCGCCUAUCUCGUUAUCGUUGAAGAAAUAUAGUCACUUUAUUCAAGCCACACAUGAUCCAGCAUCUGAAGCAAAGGGCAUUACCGCUUUCCUCCGACGUUUUGACUGGAGAAGUGUUGUUCUUAUCUACGAGGAUGAUGAUGAUUGGAGAGAGAGCAUGCAACCCUUGGUAGAACUCUUGCAAGAGAAUGCCAUCCACAUUGUGCAUAAGAUCGCUUUUGCAGUCUCGUCUGGGGAAGAUUACAUAACAGAAGAGCUGCAAAAGUUCAACUACUCAAGACCGAGUGUUUUUGCUGUGCAUGUGUCUGAACAUCUUGCCUCUCAUCUCUUCCCAUGUAUCGUGAGUUUAGGAAUGAUGGGAGAAGGUUAUGCCUGGAUCCUCACCGCAAAAAGCAUGAAUCUUUUCCAUUACAAGGAUGUUUUUGUGAAGGAGAUGAUGGACGGGGUGGUUGGUUUCAGGUCUUAUAUUCCAAUGUCAAAAGAUCUUUACGAUUUUACUAUGAGGUGGAGAAGGUCGUUACCCUUUGAAGAUGCUGGGGAAGAAAUAAAUGGGUUGAGCAUCUCUGGAAUAUGGGCGCAUGAUAUUGCUUGGAGCCUAGCGAGAGCAGCAGAGAUAUCGAGUUUGUCAGGUCCAAUAACCCAUGAUCAUGGUUCUAAUGUUACUGAAACUGGAGCAUCUUCAAAUACAUUGGCUCUUCUUAAGGCAAUUACACACAGUGACUUCAAGGGUUUGAGUGGCAACAUCCGGUUCAUCAAUGGAAAGCUUUCCGCAGAAAGGUACGAAAUAGUGAAUAUCAUAGGAACGGGUGAAAGAAGAGUGGGAUUCUGGACUUCUGGAAGUUUCAGCAAUAGAAGGCACUUGUCUUCUACCAAUGAGCUGGAGACCAUCAUCUGGCCCGGUGGAUCUUCUACAGCUCCAAAACGCUGUUGUCUAGCAGAUAGAGGGAAAAAAAAGCUCAGGGUUCUCGUUACCUCGAGCAACAAGUUUCCAGGACUGGUGGAGGUGCAUACUGAUCCAAUAGCAGGUAUCACGACGGCCAAGGGAUUUUGUAUAGAAGUUUUCGAGACUGCCAUUGCCUCUUUCAACUAUGAAGUGGAGUAUAUACCUUGGCGUAACGGAAGUAAUUACAACAAUCUUGCUUAUGCUGUCUAUAGCCAGAAAGACAAGUAUGAUGCUGCUGUCGGGGACAUCACAAUUACUGAUAACAGAUCUAUAUAUGUUGAUUUUACAUUACCGUUCACUGAGAUGGGUAUUGGAGUUGCGGCUGUGAAGGACAAAAGCAUGUGGAUUUUCUUUAGGCCUCUUACUCCAUGCCUUUGGCUAACCACUGCAGCUUUCUUCCUCUUGGUGGGGAGUAUAGUUUGGUUGAUAGAACGACCUGAUAAUACUGAGUUCCAGGGUUCAUGGUUCCAGCAGAUUGGAACAAUUGUCUGGUUCGGAUUCUCUACCCUUGUGUACGCUCACAGGGAGGGGCUGCAAAAGAACUUGUCAAAAUUUGUGGUUCUAGUUUGGGUCUUUGCAGUUCUUAUAUUGGCUUCAAACUAUACUGCAACAUUGACAUCAAUGAUGACAGUCCAACAGAUACGAUUUAGGUCAAGCCAGAAUUACGUCGGAUUCUUUUCUGGUUCACUUGUUGUAAAUGUUGUUUUGAUUAAUUCCACCUUCCAAGGUCAAAGAUACAGGUUACGUGCAUCAGACGAUUAUGCGAGUGCUUUGCGGAAUGGAACCGUCUCAUUUAUCAUUGAUGAGCUCCCUUACCUCAAGGUCAUACUUGGAGAAUAUCCCAAAGACUUAUACCUGGUAAAAAGAGAAACCAUUACCAACGGCUUUGGCUUUAUGUUCCAGAAAGGUUCUCAUUUGGCACAAAACGUGUCACAAGAAAUUGCGAAGCUGAGGAGAACUGGAAAGCUGAAAACCAUGGAAAACUGGUGGUUGGAAAGACAACCAGCCUCUACAGCAGAGGACACAUCUGACCCGCUCACCCUUUACAAGUUCCGCGGUUUGUUUAUUAUCACUGGAGUUUCUUUCGGUUUGGCCCUCACCUUGCUUCUAGCUCCCUGGCUCUCGAAGAAAUGGAAAGUCUUUACAAAAGCUCUCUACAUAUACACCGACUAUCAACUUGGGUCCUUGAGAAGACUUUGUGCAAGAGCUAUUCAUCCCGGAUCUCCGACCACCCCAAAUAUACACAACAGGGAACCCGAAAUCUCGGGCUAGAUGGAUGUGCUAACAAAGCCUUUGCUUUGGAUGUUUCCGGGAAAGAUAUUGGCCUGCAAAUUGGUGCUGGGAUCUAAAGUGGUCAUUGCUAAUUGUGGAAGUAAACUGUGAAGCCAAUACCACGACGUUCUUUUCUCUUUCUAUAAUGAACUGUUUCUCCAAGGCCUGGAGUGGCCAUGUGAAAUUGCAUAUUUGCAUUCUCCUAUUGCAGGUGCAUUCCUGUUUGACACUCAUCCUUUCUCAAUGUUUGACAGCUACGGGAGCAAGGGAGGAAAAGCUGAUCAUUGUGGACUUACCCAUCAGAGAAGCCGAGAAUGCAAAUGGGUUUCAUCUGUGGAACCAGGGAUGGUUAUAAUCUCUGUCUACUUUAGACAGUCGAAGCAUUUGUUCAGGGGUAUUGAAGCUCGAGAUUCUUCCUCGUUAUGCUAAGAUGGAAUUGCUUACAGGUCGGAUCAUUGAACUGUUAUUUUUCCUGAACCCAUUUGUCAAAGAUGGUCAUAUACAAGGCAGAGCUAAACUAAUAUAUAUUCCUAGCCGAAUAUUAUAACAUUCUGAGUGAAAGCCAAAGCUUGAUAGCAACGGGACAGGAGAAAGAGAAAAAGCUGACUAGUUCGACACAGCAGUUAACAUGGACUGAGUAAACGCCAUGUUUCCUUCUUCAAGGCUUCUAGCAUGCAAUAAUGGUGAUGAUAUCACCAUUGUCCUACACGAAAAACUUAACCUUUAUGGAGAAACAUAGGAUUCAUAACCGAAUUCUUCAGUCAUGUCUUCUUAUUUUUCUUCUUAUCUUUGGCUCACUGUCUCCUUUGUAUGGAAUUUCUGAAACUGGUGAAGCUCAUCAGAACGACAAUGUAAAUGGAACUUCGGCCCACGAAGAAGUUCGAGUUGGGUUGGUGUUGGACAUGGAUUCCAUGGAAGGAAAGAUCGUCAGAAGCUCCAUCUCAAUGGCGCUCUCAGAUUUCUACAAAGUUAACAGAGGAUACAGAACAA
Molecule: RNA transcript, 3819 nt
Organism: Tarenaya hassleriana
Lineage: Eukaryota; Viridiplantae; Streptophyta; Magnoliopsida; Brassicales; Cleomaceae
Gene name: glutamate receptor 1.2-like
Exons: 8
Source: RefSeq, a predicted model, not a curated record